Non-coding RNA from Candidatus Pacearchaeota archaeon CG1_02_39_14, 82 nucleotides. Lineage: Archaea; Nanobdellati. The record is from Rfam.
GCCGCUGUGGCACAAUGGUACUGCGUCAGUCUUGAGAACUGAUUUCCUCACGGAUAUCCCGGUUCGAUUCCGGGCAGCGGCG